UGGUGCGCCGUUUCUUAAGCCGGUCUGA
This 28-nucleotide non-coding RNA is filed under the name Homo sapiens (human). Lineage: Eukaryota; Metazoa; Chordata; Mammalia; Primates; Hominidae. The record is from RNAcentral.